UACGUAGGGUGCAAGCGUUACUCGGAAUUAUUGGGCGUAAAGCGUGCGUAGGCGGUUUGUUAAGUCUGUUGUGAAAGCCCCGGGCUCAACCUGGGAAUGGCAAUGGAUACUGGCAAGCUAGAGUGCGGUAGAGGGUAGUGGAAUUCCCGGUGUAGCGGUGAAAUGCGUAGAGAUCGGGAGGAACACCAGUGGCGAAGGCGGCUACCUGGACCAGCACUGACACUGAGGCACGAAAGCGUGGGGAGCAAACAGG
RNAcentral lists this ribosomal RNA (253 nucleotides) under uncultured bacterium. RNAcentral describes it as "partial 16S ribosomal RNA". It matches the Rfam family "Bacterial small subunit ribosomal RNA", at positions 524 to 776 of the family's 1533-position model. The record is from RNAcentral.